This 1446-nucleotide ribosomal RNA is filed under the name uncultured organism. RNAcentral describes it as "SSU rRNA". It matches the Rfam family "Bacterial small subunit ribosomal RNA". The record is from RNAcentral.
AUGAUGAACGCUAGCUACAGGCUUAACACAUGCAAGUCGAGGGGCAGCAUUUUAGUUUGCUUGCAAACUAAAGAUGGCGACCGGCGCACGGGUGAGUAACACGUAUCCAACCUGCCGAUAACUCGGGGAUAGCCUUUCGAAAGAAAGAUUAAUAUCCGAUAGUAUAUUAAAACCGCAUGGUUUUACUAUUAAAGAAUUUCGGUUAUCGAUGGGGAUGCGUUCCAUUAGUUUGUUGGCGGGGUAACGGCCCACCAAGACUACGAUGGAUAGGGGUUCUGAGAGGAAGGUCCCCCACAUUGGAACUGAGACACGGUCCAAACUCCUACGGGAGGCAGCAGUGAGGAAUAUUGGUCAAUGGACGAGAGUCUGAACCAGCCAAGUAGCGUGAAGGAUGACUGCCCUAUGGGUUGUAAACUUCUUUUAUAUGGGAAUAAAGUAUUCCACGUGUGGGAUUUUGUAUGUACCAUAUGAAUAAGGAUCGGCUAACUCCGUGCCAGCAGCCGCGGUAAUACGGAGGAUCCGAGCGUUAUCCGGAUUUAUUGGGUUUAAAGGGAGCGUAGAUGGAUUGUUAAGUCAGUUGUGAAAGUUUGCGGCUCAACCGUAAAAUUGCAGUUGAAACUGGCAGUCUUGAGUACAGUAGAGGUGGGCGGAAUUCGUGGUGUAGCGGUGAAAUGCUUAGAUAUCACGAAGAACUCCGAUUGCGAAGGCAGCUCACUAGACUGCAACUGACACUGAUGCUCGAAAGUGUGGGUAUCAAACAGGAUUAGAUACCCUGGUAGUCCACACAGUAAACGAUGAAUACUCGCUGUUUGCGAUAUACAGUAAGCGGCCAAGCGAAAGCAUUAAGUAUUCCACCUGGGGAGUACGCCGGCAACGGUGAAACUCAAAGGAAUUGACGGGGGCCCGCACAAGCGGAGGAACAUGUGGUUUAAUUCGAUGAUACGCGAGGAACCUUACCCGGGCUUAAAUUGCAUUUGAAUAAUCUGGAAACAGGUUAGCCGCAAGGCAAAUGUGAAGGUGCUGCAUGGUUGUCGUCAGCUCGUGCCGUGAGGUGUCGGCUUAAGUGCCAUAACGAGCGCAACCCUUAUCUUUAGUUACUAACAGGUCAUGCUGAGGACUCUAGAGAGACUGCCGUCGUAAGAUGUGAGGAAGGUGGGGAUGACGUCAAAUCAGCACGGCCCUUACGUCCGGGGCUACACACGUGUUACAAUGGGGGGUACAGAAGGCAGCUACCUGGCGACAGGAUGCUAAUCCCAAAAACCUCUCUCAGUUCGGAUCGAAGUCUGCAACCCGACUUCGUGAAGCUGGAUUCGCUAGUAAUCGCGCAUCAGCCAUGGCGCGGUGAAUACGUUCCCGGGCCUUGUACACACCGCCCGUCAAGCCAUGAAAGCCGGGGGUACCUGAAGUACGUAACCGCAAGGAGCGUCCUAGGGUAAAACUGGUAAU